This 1095-nucleotide ribosomal RNA is filed under the name Salinivibrio costicola. RNAcentral describes it as "bacterial SSU rRNA". It matches the Rfam family "Bacterial small subunit ribosomal RNA", at positions 34 to 1104 of the family's 1533-position model. The record is from RNAcentral. Lineage: Bacteria; Pseudomonadati; Pseudomonadota; Gammaproteobacteria; Vibrionales; Vibrionaceae.
CGCUGGCGGCAGGCCUAACACAUGCAAGUCGAGCGGAAACGGCAGUAUUGAAGCUUCGGUGGAUUUACUGGACGUCGAGCGGCGGACGGGUGAGUAACGGCUGGGAACCUGCCCUGACGAGGGGGAUAACCGUUGGAAACGACGGCUAAUACCGCAUAAUGUCUACGGACCAUAGGUGGCCUCUACAUGUAAGCUAUCGCGUUGGGAUGGGCCCAGUUAGGAUUAGCUAGUUGGUAAGGUAAUGGCUUACCAAGGCAACGAUCCUUAGCUGGUUUGAGAGGAUGAUCAGCCACACUGGGACUGAGACACGGGCCAGACUCCUACGGGAGGCAGCAGUGGGGAAUAUUGCACAAUGGGGGAGACCCUGAUGCAGCCAUGCCGCGUGUGUGAAGAAGGCCUUCGGGUUGUAAAGCACUUUCAGCAGUGAGGAAGGUCGUGUACUUAAUACGUGCACGGCUUGACGUUAGCUGCAGAAGAAGCACCGGCUAACUCCGUGCCAGCAGCCGCGGUAAUACGGAGGGUGCGAGCGUUAAUCGGAAUUACUGGGCGUAAAGCGCAUGCAGGCGGUUUGUUAAGUCAGAUGUGAAAGCCCGGGGCUCAACCUCGGAACCGCAUUUGAAACUGGCAGGCUAGAGUCUUGUAGAGGGGGGUAGAAUUUCAGGUGUAGCGGUGAAAUGCGUAGAGAUCUGAAGGAAUACCAGUGGCGAAGGCGGCCCCCUGGACAAAGACUGACGCUCAGAUGCGAAAGCGUGGGUAGCAAACAGGAUUAGAUACCCUGGUAGUCCACGCCGUAAACGCUGUCUACUUGGAGGUUGAGGUUUUAGACUUUGGCUUUCGGCGCUAACGCAUUAAGUAGACCGCCUGGGGAGUACGGCCGCAAGGUUAAAACUCAAAUGAAUUGACGGGGGCCCGCACAAGCGGUGGAGCAUGUGGUUUAAUUCGAUGCAACGCGAAGAACCUUACCUACUCUUGACAUCCAGCGAAGCCUUUAGAGAUAGAGGCGUGCCUUCGGGAGCGCUGAGACAGGUGCUGCAUGGCUGUCGUCAGCUCGUGUUGUGAAAUGUUGGGUUAAGUCCCGCAACGAGCGCGCAACCC